GGCGGGCUGCUUACACAUGCAGUCGAACGAUGAAGCCCAGCUUGCUGGGUGGAUUAGUGGCGAACGGGUGAGUAACACGUGAGUAACCUGCCCUUGACUCUGGGAUAAGCCUGGGAAACUGGGUCUAAUACUGGAUAUGACUUCUCACCGCAUGGUGGGGGGUGGAAAGAUUUAUUGGUCUUGGAUGGACUCGCGGCCUAUCAGCUUGUUGGUGAGGUAAUGGCUCACCAAGGCGACGACGGGUAGCCGGCCUGAGAGGGUGACCGGCCACACUGGGACUGAGACACGGCCCAGACUCCUACGGGAGGCAGCAGUGGGGAAUAUUGCACAAUGGGCGCAAGCCUGAUGCAGCGACGCCGCGUGAGGGAUGACGGCCUUCGGGUUGUAAACCUCUUUCAGUAGGGAAGAAGCGAAAGUGACGGUACCUGCAGAAGAAGCGCCGGCUAACUACGUGCCAGCAGCCGCGGUAAUACGUAGGGCGCGAGCGUUAUCCGGAAUUAUUGGGCGUAAAGAGCUCGUAGGCGGUUUGUCGCGUCUGCCGUGAAAGUCCGGGGCUUAACCCCGGAUCUGCGGUGGGUACGGGCAGACUAGAGUGCAGUAGGGGAGACUGGAAUUCCUGGUGUAGCGGUGAAAUGCGCAGAUAUCAGGAGGAACACCGAUGGCGAAGGCAGGUCUCUGGGCUGUAACUGACGCUGAGGAGCGAAAGCAUGGGGAGCGAACAGGAUUAGAUACCCUGGUAGUCCAUGCCGUAAACGUUGGGCACUAGGUGUGGGGGACAUUCCACGUUUUCCGCGCCGUAGCUAACGCAUUAAGUGCCCCGCCUGGGGAGUACGGCCGCAAGGCUAAAACUCAAAGGAAUUGACGGGGGCCCGCACAAGCGGCGGAGCAUGCGGAUUAAUUCGAUGCAACGCGAAGAACCUUACCAAGGCUUGACAUGUUCCUGACCGCCGUAGAGAUACGGUUUCCCCUUUGGGGCAGGUUCACAGGUGGUGCAUGGUUGUCGUCAGCUCGUGUCGUGAGAUGUUGGGUUAAGUCCCGCAA
Molecule: ribosomal RNA, 1041 nt
Filed under: Micrococcus terreus
Lineage: Bacteria; Bacillati; Actinomycetota; Actinomycetes; Micrococcales; Micrococcaceae
Description: bacterial SSU rRNA
Rfam family: Bacterial small subunit ribosomal RNA
Source: RNAcentral